Molecule: ribosomal RNA, 386 nt
Filed under: uncultured bacterium
Lineage: Bacteria
Description: bacterial SSU rRNA
Rfam family: Bacterial small subunit ribosomal RNA
Source: RNAcentral
AUUGAACGCUGGCGGCAUGCCUUACACAUGCAAGUCGAACGGCAGCGGACCUUCGGGUGCCGGCGAGUGGCGAACGGGUGAGUAAUAUAUCGGAACGUACCUUUCAGUAGGGGGAGUAACGUAGCGAAAGUUACGCUAAUACCGCAUAUUCUGUGAGCAGGAAAGCAGGGGAUCGCAAGACCUUGCGCUGAUUGAGCGGCCGAUAUCAGAUUAGCUAGUUGGUGAGGUAAAGGCUCACCAAGGCGACGAUCUGUAGCGGGUCUGAGAGGAUGAUCCGCCACACUGGAACUGAGACACGGUCCAGACUCCUACGGGAGGCAGCAGUGGGGAAUUUUGGACAAUGGGCGGCAAGCCUGAUCCAGCCACUGCCGCGUGAGUGAAGAAGG